AUGCGUAGAAGCAGGGAGGAGGAUAUCAUGCCGAGGGAGGUCAGUGAGAGGAGGAGGAGGAGGAGGAGGGCACACAUGGCCACCGCAAGAGAUGAUUGCGGGGCAUCGCUUCCAUACGAGAUGAUCAUAGAGAUUCUGCAGUGGCUUCCUGUCAAAUCCGUCUUCCGCUUCAGAGCAGUUUGCCGCUCCUGGGCUGCGCUGCUCUCCUCCGAUGAAUUCCGCCGCCUCCACAUGUCAGUAGCCAAGGACGCAAGGCGGCGUGCACCACCAGCCAAGCUGCUAUACAUCUCACCGACCGCCACAUUCGACUCCACGGCGGUCUACUCGUGCCCCUUCUCGCCAUCAUCAUCAUCGGGGCGCCCCAGAGAUCGUGGGGACCUACUGUUCACCAUCGACGGUGCCCGUGGCAACUGUGUGGAAGUAGCGACGCCGGCACCAUGCCGUGGCCUCACCCUCCUCUAUGACGCUCUCGGUGGAGCUUUCUACAUCUGCAACGCGGCAACACGAGCUGCUACGCGUCUGCCAGCUUCCACUGAGGAACGAGCAGCCAGGUCCACUGCUGGGCUGGGGUUUGAUGCCCACACAGAUGAGUACAAAGUGGUGAGGUUGAUCAAUAGGUUGUGUCAUCAGAAGGACAUGGUGAGGUGUGAGAUUUACACACCUGGAGGCCGCUUUGGGGAUCGCUGGAGGCCGCCUGCGGGAGGAGUACCCUUGAGCUUGCAUCAGUUUGUAUAUGCCGCUGUUACAAAUGCGGAAUUGAACAAAUUACCUCCUGUGUUUGCCAAGGGUUGCCUGCACUGGUUGAUGAGACCUGCCUCUUUCACCACGACUCCAAGUGUUGCUGUCGUGUCCUUCUCGGUCACAGAGGAGACCUUCACAUGUCUCCGGUCACCGCCCUUCUGGGUACCAGGAGCGCCGCCGAUCAGGUAUGGGUUGUCAGAAGAGCAACUAGUGGAGAUGGAUGACCAACUAUGUUUGGUCCGAGAUACUCGCAACACAAUGCUUUAUGCUAAUGUUUUGGAGAUCUGGAAACUGCCGGACUAUAGCUCUGGUGACUGGUUACUGAGUCACCGGAUCAAUUUGUCGAGCCACCUGGCAAGAGAUUUACGCGAAUCACAAAUUCUGAGAGUUAUUGGAUGUUUUGGCAUCAAUUCCAGCUCGCCAAGGAAGAAGAUAGUCGUCACUACUAGCAAGCACAAGAUUUUCGACAAGUAUCAGAAAAUGGUUCACACGUAUGACCCUAGGUCUGAAGCUCUAGAAACCAUUCUUUCAAUCACGGAGACACACUCAACUCCAUAUUAUGGGCCCCCUAGUUCAAGGUUUAGUUUCAUUCAAGAGACCCUUGCUCCUGUGCAUAAAACAGAUGAAGAGAUAGCCUUAUCAUCUGACCUGGCUAAGGUGAUUAGAGAGAUCCUACUCCGCCUCCCAGCUAAAGCAGUGGUACACUCCAAAUUUGUCUGCAAGCAGUGGUUCAGAUUGAUUGAGAGUGAAAACUUCAUUCAGUCAUACUUUCAGCAUAAGAACAUGGACAAAAGACCUAAGGUCAUGCUUCUGGUCAAGGGCACUGGACAGUUGGCCUUCAGUUUUUCUCCCUUGAAUAAAUGCAUCCAAGAAGCUCCUAGUAACAGUACACUACUUGACACAAAGGUGGUUUGCUCCAAGCCUUGCCAUGGGCUGAACUUGGUAAGUACCGAGACGAGGGACUAUCUCUGCAACCCAUGUACAGGUUUCCACAGGGGCUACUCACUGGGGCCAAGUUUGCUGCAGAGUAAAGCAGAAGAACAUGCUUUCACAGUCGGCAAUAAGAAUGUUGGCUUGACUUUCGACCCUUUGACUCAUCAACAUGUUAUGGUGGCAAUCUUCUAUCGCCAGAAGGACUUCAAAUCUCGUCAAUAUGACCUGACAUGCACGUUACGCUGGUGUAACUCUCGGGAUCGUCCCCAACGGAGCUCGGUACCACCUCUGCCUGUGAAUGACAUGCCACCAGCAUAUGUUGAAGGAAUGCUGUACUGGAUGAGUGAACCAAGGUUGGGACGGAGCUGUGAAUGGACCAUUGUCUCUUUCAACCUUGCUACAAGAAUUUUUGAUGUUGUCCCUUGCCCUUCAUGGUUUGCAAGAUGGAAUAGCAGAAACCGUUGCCGUGCAUUUGUUGUUGAGCUUGAGGGAGUAUUAUGUGCUGUUCUAGCAGAUCCAGUGGCAGAAAAAUUAGAUGUAUGGAAGCUAGAGCGUGGCCAAUGGGGUAGAGCAUUCACAAUUCACCUGGAAGCGUAUCCUGACUAUUCCCUUAAGACAAGUGUUGUGGUGCCAUUAGCUGUUGAUCACGAUUAUGGGAGGAUCCUGCUCAACACUGGAAGGAAAAUAGGACUGUACGAUCCAGUAGAGCAAGCAAUUCAAAAUUUGUAUUCACUUGAUCAGGUGCCGGUUGUCAGAAGUUGUAGUAGUCCACACCAUAAGUUUCUUGAUAUGCCUUCAACUUCAGCAGCGAAUAGUUUGACAUGCUCCAAAGAAGACUCAGCGGCGGAGAUGAAUAGAAUGGACUCUAAGAUGAUUCCUUGUGUUCCAAUGUUAUAUGAGGAGAGCUUGGCAUGUUACACCCGUGUGGCCAAGAAACAAUUGUUGUGGUGA
This 2625-nucleotide ribosomal RNA is filed under the name Triticum aestivum (bread wheat). RNAcentral describes it as "partial small subunit ribosomal RNA". Lineage: Eukaryota; Viridiplantae; Streptophyta; Magnoliopsida; Poales; Poaceae. The record is from RNAcentral.